UUAAUCAAAUGGAAUCACAAGUUAGUAUGUACAAGCAAAGCUUCAUCUAUGUGUCAAAUGAUCCAAGAUUGGUUGAUAUAAAGGCAACCUAUCUAUGCCUCAAAGUAUCAUGAAUGAUCUAUUGAUCAUCCAUUAAUAGAUUUGAAAUAUAGAAGGUAUAAUCAACCCUAAUCAAUCCAAAAUCAUGACUUAAUAGACUUUAUUAUCCAUCAAUGUUCAAGGCAUCAUAAGUGAAUCAAAAAAUGCUUAAAUGAAAUGAAACAAAGCAUACUAAAAUAGAAGAGGAAAAAAUAGUGAGGGUUUUUGUUGGAAAUUUUUUAAUCAGAAUUAAAAUAAGUGAGGAAAAAAUAAAAUUA
This 356-nucleotide long non-coding RNA is filed under the name Lathyrus oleraceus (garden pea). Its description in RNAcentral is "Pisum sativum (pea) long non-coding RNA (PSAT_LNC026711)". Lineage: Eukaryota; Viridiplantae; Streptophyta; Magnoliopsida; Fabales; Fabaceae. The record is from RNAcentral.